ACCACAAGCUCACCUUGGAUCCAAGUAGGUGCAUGUCGUACAGACCAUGAGAGGGUUCCGACAUGUCGUACAGACCAUAGAGUGGUUCCGACUGUAGGUGAUUUUAGAUUAUUAUACAGCUGUUGAUGAGAGAAGCACUAGAGCGUAUUCUUACACCUUUCUUAUCGUACAGACUACUUUAGGUAGUUUUGAUUUAUGUGCAGAGU
Molecule: long non-coding RNA, 206 nt
Filed under: Malus domestica (apple)
Lineage: Eukaryota; Viridiplantae; Streptophyta; Magnoliopsida; Rosales; Rosaceae
Description: long non-coding RNA (MDOM_LNC013905)
Source: RNAcentral